CACACACUUAAGUUUUGUAAUUAAUACUCAUCCCUUCUUACCUAUCUCUCCUCCUAUAAAUAGAUAACCCUAAACCCUUUCUAGAUAUGCAUUUCUGAAGAGAACCCUUCAUAGCUAUGGGUCUUUAAAGUAAACCCUUCAUAGAUAUGAGUCUAUGAAGAAAGCCCUUCAGAGAUAUGGGUUCUUGAAGAAGACCAUUGAUCAUAGCUAUGGAUUCUUGAAGAAAACCCUCUUUUCUUUUUCUAUUUUUUGACAUAUAACCUUUUCUUUUUCAACUUCUUUGUUCAACUGGAUCAUGUUUUAAGUUUCUUGUUCUAUCAUUAAACCUAAUCACUAUAUGUAGCUUAACCUUCCACUUUUAUUUUCUUGCUGGAGAAAUGAAAGCAGAUCUCAAGUGACAGUCAGUUCUUGCUGAUGGAGCAUCAUCAAGAUUCACAAAAGACUCUACUUUUAGGGUUUCAUAAGCUUUUCUUGUUCUUUUACUUAAUAAAGAAAGAAAAAGAAAGUGGUUUAUGGGCCCCUUGAUGGUUUGAGAAUCUUGAUGAUGCUGCAGCGGCAAUUGCUGGCUAAUUAUGAUCUUUAAAACUGGAUUAUGGUAAGUUGUGACCAUGUAGAUUUAAUCUUAAAAUAUAAAAUAUAUCCAUCACCAUUAGUGUGUGCGUGUGUGUAUAUUUUUGCAGGCUGUUUAUUCUGUUGCUUUUUGAGCCACAUCUUGUUUAUGGUGUUGCAGUCAUAUAAGAAAAAGCAAAUCUCACCUGGUGAAUUGAUGAGUGUGUCUGUACUCUGAACAUGAGUGGAUUAGCAACUUGUACUGUACAACAGGAUAUCAUGGGAUGCUUUUGAAGAGAUACCAUUAGGUGUUGCAGGAUAUCAUGAUGGUCUACUUUGUGUUCUUGGAUUUGCUAUGUGAAGAGAUCCCAUUACUAGAUUUUAAUUGUCAUUGUUUAUAUCUUUAACUAGCUACAACUAGUUUUUUUUU
Molecule: long non-coding RNA, 979 nt
Organism: Helianthus annuus (common sunflower)
Lineage: Eukaryota; Viridiplantae; Streptophyta; Magnoliopsida; Asterales; Asteraceae
Exons: 2
Source: RefSeq, a predicted model, not a curated record